Pelobates cultripes (western spadefoot toad) is the source of this 5347-nucleotide non-coding RNA. Lineage: Eukaryota; Metazoa; Chordata; Amphibia; Anura; Pelobatidae. The record is from the annotation of a GenBank genome assembly.
AGUACCAAGCUGUAUGCUAAUUAAAUGAAAUUCAUGAUAUUAAUUCAUUUUUUUUCAGGGAGAUGCAAGUUGCUCCUACCUCCCUAUCUACAACAGUGCUCACAGUCCAGUUUUAGCAUUUUUGGGCUACAUGGGCUUAUAUUUGCAUCGUCUAACAUUUUGUUUUAUAUUCCAAACUCCCAGUCGUUUAGUAUUCAGUUGGACAGCCGUAAAUUUAGAUCUCUGACCAGAUGUUCUGGAUUUGUUAUCUGUUAUCUCAAUAUGUAGGACACCAGAGAAAUGUCCCUAUUAGCACAGUGUGAGCGCAUCAUUAGACUCACACUGUGUAAAAUAAACUCUGCAGGAAUUUCCUUUUCACCAUUCAUCAUAAUUCUCUGUAUAAUGAAUAAACUCCUAUAGUUGUUUUAAAUAGGAAAACUUCUUCACCUUUUCAGAGAUACAGUAGAGACAUCUAAAAGCAGAAGUGCUUGAGACAGCAGUGACAAAAAUGCAAAUAUUUGUGUUAAAGUUGCUGUUUAUUUAACACAGUGGUUCUCAACCCAGUCCUCACGACCCAGCAACAGUACAGGUUUUUUUCAAUAUCUCCAAUGGAAUAAAAAAGAGGAAUACACAAAUCUGGAUUCUUGGUGGCUAUGUUGAUUGGUUUGGGAUCCACUGAUUGAACAGUAUGUCUAGCAGGGUUCCUUACAGUCAUCUGCUACAAUGCAGCCUCUCAGAUAUGGUGGACAGGGAUGUAUUUACCACAAGGCAAACAAGGCAUUUUGCACUUUCAGGGGGGGCGCCAAAAAAUGCCAUCCCAAGCUCCCAGACAAAUGCCUUGCUUGCCUUGUGUUCUGGGGCUGUCCACCUUAUUGUGAGUGAGUGUAGCUGUCAGUAUGUGUCUGUGAGUGAGUGAAAGUGUGUGUGUCUUUCAGUGAGAAUGGGUGUGCCUGUGAGUGUGUGUAUGUCAUUUUAUGUGUAUCUGAAAGUGUGUGUCUGUCAGUGAAAAUGUGUGUUGGUUAAACAGUGUGUGCCAAUGACUGUGUAUCUGUCAGUGAGUGUAUAUCAGUGCACGUAUCAAUGGGGGUAUGUAUCUGUCAGUCAAAAAAGUGGCCUUGACACGAAUUGGGGGGUCAAAUUUAGAUUUUGGGGGUGCCCGAAUUUAGUCGUGCCUAGGGCAGCACAAAUCCAAAAUACACCACUGAUGGUGGAACACUCCCUAUUCUGUAAAUUGUGAAUUUAAAUGCUAAUUUGCAAAUAUUACUCCUUGUCAAUCAUUGUUGUAAGCUCUAUCCUUUCAAUUGGCAGUCAACAUAGAAAAAGCAUCCAGAGAAAAGAGAAAUGGAACAAUGGGGUUAUGUAUAAAAAGUAAUGCUGUUUGUUGUGUUUCAUGUUUGCUCCAAUAUUCAAUAUUUUCCCUAUGCUCCAAAUUCUCCAUGUUUGUGCCCUUGCCAGUUUUAAACAUCAUUAUGCCAUUUUGAAUAACAGUGUUGUUGAACUUUAUAAAAAAAAAGGGGGGGGGGGGGGGAAGGUACAACAGUGCACCCUUUCUUCAACACAAUUUUACACUCUGUCAGAGUGGGGGAUAUUUUUAAAUAAUAUUACAAAAUUUCAAUAUUUUAAACAAUAUCCUUUAGAUAGCAAAAUCAAAUUUUAUUUGAUAGUAAUAUUACUUAUUUAGUGGUUAAAAUAAAAAAGGACAAAAGAGCACACAAAUGGAUUGCAAUAUCACUUUUUACAUCUUUAAUAUACAUUUAAACAGAGACAGAACACAUGGUGAACAAAGUUUACACAAACUAUGGGUUAUUUUCAAUAUUCCAUCCAAUGGUUUAAUUUGACAGUUUUAAGUGACAGUUCCACUUUCAGAUAUGUGUGAUCCGUUUGAUAGGUUCCCUAUUGUAAUGACAUGUUUUUUCCACUUUAGUGAAACUUUUUCCCAGGUUGCAUCUGUGAUAGCUUGUGAGAUUUUGCUUCCUUGUAAAUUGACUGAUUGUGGUUACACCUUCUGCAUGUCCUCCAUAAGGCACUGUACUCAUCCUUUCUCCCAGGCCCAUCUAAAGUGAGUUGCGAACAAAUACUACGGCCUAGAUUAUGGGAUUCUGAGUUGUCAGAAUCAGAUGUAAUUAGGAGGGAUGGAACCAGGGAUUUGUGCACCAGUAUUCUGUCAAGUGACUUUCUCAUGUAAGGUUUAUUUUAAAAGUUCCUCUUCAACGCAAUCUAAUAAAAAAAUUGGGGGGGCUGAAUGUGCUGCUGUGGGUUUAUAAAAGGCAGUUAGUUUUGCCUCAGUUAUAGGUGUUUGGCUCAAAGCAUUGUCCAGAGAUACUUUAAAAUCAUAUUUUCAUGAUUCAAUGUGUGUGCACACACACACACACACACGGUCACUGACUGUGUUCAGGCAUUGUGGGACAUUAGGACCUGACUUGUUUUUUUGUUUUUUAUUUAACUAAUACCUAAAUUAUAGUUUGCUAUAUCAACCUGAUGUGGCACCUUUUAUUUACAGAAAUGCCCUCAGUCUGCAGAUCUAUUAGAAACAGUUAUAACUGCAUUGUCAAAAGUGUUCUAACAAAAAUCAAGGAUGGUUGGUAAAUACAAUAUUUCUGACAUCCUUAAAAAGACACUAUAGUCACCAAAAUAACUUUAGCUUUUGGUAUAUAGAUAAUGCCUGUGCAAGCUCACUGCUCAUUUCUCUGCCAUUUAUGAGUUAAAUUACUUUGUUUAUGCAUCCCUAGUCACGCCUCCCUGCAUGUGACUUACACAUGCUUCCUAAACACUUCCUGUAAAAAGUCAUCUAAUGUUUACACAUCCUUUUUUGCAAAUUCUGUUUAAUUUAAAAUUUCUUAUAUCCUGCUCUGGUAAUCACUUGCUGGACCCGGCAGGAGCCUCCUGUAAGUAAUUAAUGUUCACGUAUGUUACAUCUGCUAGAGAAUGAAACCAUUUUCUUUUCAUGCAGGCUGUGUCAGUCACAGUCAGGGGUGUGGCUAGGGCUUCAUAAACAGAAACAAAAGUGAGUUAACUCCUAAAUGGCAGCAAAAUGAAAAGUGAACUUCAGAGGCCUGAUCUAUUCACAAAAAUUGCUUCAUUAAGCUAAAGUUGGUUUGGUGACUAUAGUGUUCCUUUAAGGGACACUCCAGGCACAGAUACAACUUUUAUACAUUUGAUGGAUUUUGGCCUCUUUAAUAUGCUCAGUGGCAGAACUACCAUGGUCACAGGGGUUGCAGCUGCAGCCUGGCCCGGCUGCCCUGUCGAUGGACUGAUGGACAGAACUGGACUGAUCACUCAGGAAAUCCAGGGCCAGCAAAACUUCAGGGCCGGUGCCUUGGGGCAAGCUGUGGCCUGGUGACCAACAUUGCAUAUAGCACAGUGCUCUUCUGCCAGUCACUGCAUGUAGCAUUGGCGAAUGGACUGCAGUCUGCAAGGAAGUGCUCACUGAGAGAAAUAAGCACUUCCUAUCAGACUGGGUAUCAUGGUCUGCUAGCAGGUGAGCAGGUACAGGAGGUAAGCAUGGAGGUGAGCAGGUAUAGGAGGGGAGGGAGAUGAGGGAUAGACACAUUGAUGAGCAGGAGGGAAUAAUACACAUGUAGCGAAUGGGGGGGGAUGAGAAACAUGCGUGGGCCCCAGGGCAAUUUUCGCACCAGCCCCAGUGCAAUUUUCGCACAUUGGUUUCUAGUUAUACCUUUUAAUAUGUGGUAUUUUUUUUGAAAGCUCAAAUCUUUAUAGUUUUUGCACAAAAUAAAUAUAUGUUUAGCAGAAUGCUGCACCAUAAGCCUGCCUCCUUAGCCACACCUUCUUUAAGCCGGAAAUACUUCCUUAUCAAAGGUAUGCACACAGUCUCAGCCCCAACAGCACUGAGUGAGCAGUCUGGCUGCAAACAGACAUAGAAGCUACAAACAAGUAGUGAUAUCCUUACUGAAGCCCUCACAGGGUCCUCUCCUAAUGUUGUUUUGUAGUUCAGACCAUUCAGUGUGGUCUGUGGCUGAGCAGUGUGCAUACAUUUGAUUAGGAAGUCUUUUCUGGCAUGAGGAGGUGUGGCUAAAGAGGCAGCUUUAUGGUGCAGCUUUCUGCAAAACAUGUAUUUGUUUUAUUGCAAAACUAUACUGAAUUGAGCAUACAUAAAAAUACAGCAUAUUAAGGAGUUCAAAACCUAUCAAAUGCCUUACAGUAGUGUUGGUGCACAGGGUGUCCCUUUAAAUCCAUUAUUCAUACAUAACUGUUUUCAAGAUGGAAAAUGAGAUAGUAACAAGAGUAACAGUAAGGAAUAAAGGGGAAAUACCCCACAUUUUACUUUAGCUUAUUUACAAUUAUAUACAGUGUAAUGAUUUCUACCAUUGUUCUUUAUGACUUCUAUAAUUCUUCUUUAUUGGGUAUACAGAACCAAAAUGAUUUUUAGAUCAGAAACAUAGAAUGUGACAGCAGAUAAGAACCAUUCGGCCCAUCAAGUCUGCCCAAUUUGUUAAAGGACCACUCUAGGCACCCAGACCACUUCAGCUUAAUGAAGUGGUCUGGGUGCCUGGUCCAGCUAGGGUUAACCCAUUUUUUUAUAAACAUAGCAGUUUCAGAGAAACUGCUAUGUUUAUUAAUGGGUUAAGCCUUCCCCCAAAGCCUCUAGCGGCUGUCUCAUUGACAGCCGCUAGAGGCGCUUGCGUGAUUCUCACUGUGAAAAUCACAGUGAGAGCAUGCCAGCGUCCAUAAGAAAGCAUUGAUAAUGCUUUCCUAUGCGACCGGCUGAAUGUGCGCGCAGCUCUUGCCGCACGUGCGCAUUCAGCCGACAGGGAGGAAUGGAGGAGGAUCGGAGGCAGAGAGCUCCCCGCCCAGCACUGGAAAAAGGUAAGUUUUCCCCCUUUUCCCCUUUCCAGAGCCGGGUGGGAGGGGGUCCCUGAGGGUGGGGGCACCCUCAGGGCACUAUAGUGCCAGGAAAACGAGUAUGUUUUCCUGGCACUAUAGUGGUCCUUUAACAGGUUUUUUUCGUCUUUUCUACAUAGAUUCUUGAGAGUGAGUUGUAUCCACAAAUACUUAAUAUUUUCAAGAAAAUAAUUUUUUUAAAGCUAAUUUUGCACCCAAUAGAAUAACAAUCAUAAGGCUCUGUUAACCUCAAAUGUUGUCUGCUAGAAAAGCAGGUUAUCUGCUUUAGGCAAGUAUGACUUGCAGUUUGUUCCACUUUGUCAGAAGGCUCUACUGUGAAAGCAAUGUGAAAGAAAUGUUAGAAAGAUAAUAUAUUUUGCAGAUUAUGCCAGAACUGUUUGAGGCAUUGCUUCCUGUAAAAAUUACUGGAAUAGUUUUCUUAAUAAAAAAAAUCACAUAUAAAUUGUAUUAAAAAUAUGUCAUUGUGUAAAAUGAAAAAGUUGCAGAAUGUGGUGAUUUUUUUCUAAAC